GAUGAACGCUGGCGGCGUGCCUAAUACAUGCAAGUCGAGCGAACGGACGAGAAGCUUGCUUCUCUGAUGUUAGCGGCGGACGGGUGAGUAACACGUGUAUAACCUACCUAUAAGACUGGGAUAACUUCGGGAAACCGGAGCUAAUACCGUAUAAUAUUUUGAACCGCAUGGUUCAAAAGUGAAAGACGGUCUUGCUGUCACUUAUAGAUGGAUCCGCGCUGCAUUAGCUAGUUGGUAAGGUAACGGCUUACCAAGGCAACGAUGCAUAGCCGACCGGAGAGCGUGAUCGGCCACCCUGGAACUGAGACACGGUCCAGACUACUACGGGACGGAGCAGAAUGGAAUCUUACGCAAUGGGCGAAAGCCUGACGGAGCAACGCGGCGUGAGUGAUGAAGGUCUUCGGAUCGUAAAACUCUGUUAUUAGGGAAGAACAUAUGUGUAAGUAACUGUGCACAUCGUGACGGUACCUAAUCAGAAAGCCACGGCUAACUACGUG
This 497-nucleotide ribosomal RNA is filed under the name uncultured bacterium. RNAcentral describes it as "partial 16S ribosomal RNA". It matches the Rfam family "Bacterial small subunit ribosomal RNA", at positions 28 to 507 of the family's 1533-position model. The record is from RNAcentral.